Molecule: unclassified non-coding RNA, 343 nt
Filed under: soil metagenome
Description: partial contains 5.8S ribosomal RNA, internal transcribed spacer 2, and large subunit ribosomal RNA
Rfam family: 5.8S ribosomal RNA (bases 1-120)
Source: RNAcentral
GAUGAAGAACGUAGCGAAAUGCGAUAAGUAAUGUGAAUUGCAGAAUUCAGUGAAUCAUCGAAUCUUUGAACGCACAUUGCGCCCGCUAGUAUUCUGGCGGUCAUGCCUGUCCGAGCGUCAUUUCAACCCUCAAGCCCCCGGGCUUGGUGUUGGGGAUCGGCGAGCCUCCGCGCCCGCCGUCCCCUAAAUCUAGUGGCGGUCUCGCUGUAGCUUCCUCUGCGUAGUAGCACACCUCGCACUGGGAAACAGCGCGGCCACGCCGUUAAACCCCCAACUUCUGAACGUUUGACCUCGGAUCAGGUAGGAAUACCCGCUGAACUUAAGCAUAUCAAUAAGCGGAGGA